AUACGUCAAUAAUACUGAGAUAUUUAGCUUAUUAUUUUAUUAAGAAAUUACAUUGAGAUAAUUUUGUAUAUCUUUAGGCGACGAAGAAGUUUCUGCAUUUCUUCGAAAUGUUCAAGAGAUCAGAGCCGAAGAGCUCUUGCCAACGGAAGUAAUGGACAAGCUAAAAAAAUUAGAAGAUUCUGUUGAGAAUCUAAGUAAGCAGUUUGUUAUUGUUGUUGUCAUGCUCUUUAUUUUUUUUAUUACAUAUUUAUUUAACAUAAAGUUAUUCUAUAUAUGGCAAGUUAGUUUAUUUUAAUGUUUAUAAGUUUUUCAUUUUAUUUA
Molecule: non-coding RNA, 321 nt
Organism: Hydra vulgaris (swiftwater hydra)
Lineage: Eukaryota; Metazoa; Cnidaria; Hydrozoa; Anthoathecata; Hydridae
Source: RefSeq, a predicted model, not a curated record